GUAAAUGCAAUGAAGAGGAAUAUUAGAUGUCUACCGGAGUCAGAGAGUUAUCGGUUGGUGUGAGAUAACGGAAGGGAAGCAUUGAACUCGCCUUGGAGCUGCUAUCUGAAAAAAGCAUGACAUAUAAGAUUGUUUUGAGUAGGCGUAGCCGGGAGCCAGCCGUUAUAGUGGACAGAAUAUAAGGUUUUUGCCCGUAUUCAGUGAGUGCACGAGGAUUUUCGUGAAAUAAGAGUGGUAUCGCGUGAGAUUAUGGUCUUUCGUCUCUUAG
This 268-nucleotide non-coding RNA is filed under the name Eubacterium sp. RNAcentral's name for it is "T-box sequence". It matches the Rfam family "T-box leader". From Rfam's summary of the family: Uncharged tRNA acts as the effector for transcription antitermination of genes in the T-box leader family. T-boxes are found upstream of many aminoacyl-tRNA synthetase genes and some amino acid biosynthetic genes usually in Gram-positive bacteria. The record is from RNAcentral. Lineage: Bacteria; Bacillati; Bacillota; Clostridia; Eubacteriales; Eubacteriaceae.